UGAAUGAAUUUAGAUUCAUGGCGUACGGCUCAGUAACACGUGGAUAACUUACCCUUAGGACUGGGAUAACUCUGGGAAACUGGGGAUAAUACCGGAUAUUAGGCUAUGGCUGGAAUGCUUUGCCUUUGAAAUGAUUUUUCGCCUAAGGAUAGAUCUGCGACUGAUUAGGUCGUUGGUGGGGUAAUGGCCCACCAAGCCUAUGAUCGGUACGGGUUGUGAGAGCAAGAGCCCGGAGAUGGAACCUGAGACAAGGUUCCAGACCCUACGGGGUGCAGCAGGCGCGAAACCUCCGCAAUGUACGAAAGUGCGACGGGGGGAUCCCAAGUGUUAUUCUUAAUAGGAUAACUUUCAUUAGUGUAAA
This 361-nucleotide ribosomal RNA is filed under the name uncultured archaeon. RNAcentral's name for it is "bacterial SSU rRNA". It matches the Rfam family "Archaeal small subunit ribosomal RNA", at positions 59 to 422 of the family's 1478-position model. The record is from RNAcentral.